GGAGAACCCACUGGUGUUGACGGGUUGGAGGGGAAACUACUGCUAGUGUGGUCAGGUGGGAGGAUCAAAGACAGUGGACGCCAAACACCAGUGAUGUGGUGACUGACUUCAUGAGGGAGUGAGUCGGAGUGGAGAGGCAAGACUCAAUGACCCCGCCGUAGUGUAACACUAAUCAGAGGCAGACGUGCCAGCAAGGUUCCACCUGCACGUUUCCAGUCCGAGCCCAUCCCUCCUCCAGUGUCCUAACAUCACACUCAGCUGUUGGCACAGCUCCCUCCUCUACUAAUGCCUGCAGGCAACGGAAGAAAGAUCAGUUCUGUGCCACCAGCUCACAAGCCAACGGCCCACUGUGAAUUCUCC
Pleuronectes platessa (European plaice) is the source of this 360-nucleotide long non-coding RNA. RefSeq lists it as uncharacterized. The record is from RefSeq and is a predicted model, not a curated record. Lineage: Eukaryota; Metazoa; Chordata; Actinopteri; Pleuronectiformes; Pleuronectidae. The transcript has 3 exons.